AUUUGGGACAGCAUCUACAAAAAAAAACAUACUCCGGCAAAAGAAAACAAUUCAACUACCUACACAUGGCUUAUUUAAGGCAAACAACACGAUUGGUAAACUUCUUUAGAACCGUUCUUCCUAGCUGCAUGUUUGUUGAUGUUCAUCGGAAACUGUUUGCUAGGCCCCGAAGAUGCAUCAGAAGCCAUGGAAUCAUCACUCUCUUCAUUACCUCCAUCAUCACUACUAUCACCAUCAUCGUUCUCAUAACCAUCAUGAUCAGCCUCUUUGACCUGUGUAUCAUCAUCAUCAUCGACAACAACAGAUGAAUGGUCAUUUCCAUGGAAGGCGUCUUCUAUGUACAUAGUCCACCCUGACUCACAACUGCUGUAUUCCUCCUCCUCCUCAGAGCCACCAUGGUUCCUCGGAGACUCCAUGGCUUUGAAAGCAAAGCAAAGAAGAAAGCAAACCCAAGGUUUCAGGAUUAGCACACACACACAGACACCAAAAAAGAUCACUUGCUUUUUUUCUAGAUACGUACCUUAUGUGUUUCAAUCCGCCUCACCAAUUUACUCUCUGAUAUAGGCACUGUGUCUCUGUCUCUCAUUUGCUUUGCUCUUCCAUCAUCAAUAAAUAUAAUUUUUUUUUGUUGGUAAUUUUUGAAGUAUCAAGAAAAGCCGGAGCCUAUAGGAAGCCUCAUAUAAUUGAAGAGAAGGAGUAAGUUUCACCACAUGGCAACCCUAGCACCAUAGUUUUCACUCAAUUGAAGCACUACCAGACAAAGCUCAUUGCAGAUAUAUAUGAAGGGAAGGAAGGUUAGUGCCUUCUUCAUUAUAAAGUACACUCUCUCAUAUAGAAUUAAAAGCCUAUGCUCUUCUUUUUCAACACAGAAAUUAAUAUAUUUAUAUGACUAAAACCUUUCUUUAAACAAAUAUAUUGGUUCCCUAACAAACCGUAAUCUAGUCUUAGAGUCAGGACACAUCAGUAUCCACAUAACAAGCAUCAUCCUUCUGAGCUCUGUCAUUAGUGAUGUGUAACCAAAGCUCAUAGGUUGUAUUACUUGUCCUUUCUGUGCUCUUCUUAAUUGAUAAUAAUCAUAUGGUUUGUGAAGUUUUUUUUAACUUCUCUGUACUCUCCCUCUCUCUCUCUCUUCUCUCUAUGUAUUCACUGGCUAUAUCUUAAAUAGAAAAGAUCAGCUUUUGAGGUGGAAAUCAGAAGAGACCCACCUCAACAAACAAGAAGGAAUAAAAGAAGCAUUUACUUAAUUAGCCUUUGCUUCCCUCUCUGUGUAUUGAAAAGGUGAUACCCAACUGGAUUUUCUUUGUCAUUUUUGUUUUAAAAGAUAAGGACAAAACAAAAAGAAGUAAAACAACUGUCACAAACCCAAAAAUAAAAUAUAAAGACAGGAUUUUACAAUUACAAGAAUAAGUUGUCUUCAUUGCGUUUCCUGUUUCUCUGGCGUCACCUUAAAAUGUUCUUUCAAUGGAGGAGGGCCUCUUGGUGACAGCUUGCAAAUCAAAGUGCAUGUGUGAGAGAGUUCCAUAUUACAAAAAGGGUUGUUUUGUUUUGACUUUUGACUCUUCUCUUUGAGUAAUGUAAACAUAUAUAUUUGUUUAGCUUUGACCUUUAACUUGAAGACUUGUUUGAGUCUCAUAAGUAAAAUAAAAACGUAUCUAAA
Camelina sativa (false flax) is the source of this 1657-nucleotide non-coding RNA. The record is from RefSeq and is a predicted model, not a curated record. Lineage: Eukaryota; Viridiplantae; Streptophyta; Magnoliopsida; Brassicales; Brassicaceae.